Molecule: long non-coding RNA, 1001 nt
Filed under: Homo sapiens (human)
Lineage: Eukaryota; Metazoa; Chordata; Mammalia; Primates; Hominidae
Description: HSALNT0098882
Source: RNAcentral
GAGAGCUGUAGGACUUGGGGGUGGCAAGGGUGCCAGGACAAAUGGUAGGAUAGCCAUGGGCUUGGGGAAGCUGAUCUCUGCUCUUUCCAGCUGUCCCCUCUCUGGGCGUCCCAGCAAGCGGCCCCCAUUCCCUGGCUCUGCUUCAAAGGCACCUCCAUACUGGGACCACGUGGAGCAGGGUAGAGGUGGGACUCCUUCCUCCAGCCCCCUAAAAAGAGCCUGCUUAAUGCCUUUCUCAGACUGGCCCUAAAGGACACAUUCCUUGGCCAGAUAUCCUUGCCACCUAAGAGACACCACUACUCCACAGUGUGUGGGCUAGGAUAAGGCACAGCCUGGGGAGGGGGCUCUGAAGGGGCUGAACAGACAGGCCAGCCUGACCUCCAGCUGCUCCUGCACUGAGCUGGAUGGCCACCCUGUGACACCCAUCUGCAGAGGGCCCAGAACCAAAGGUGCCAGGGCUGCAGGACUCAGGGGGAGAUGGUCCGACGGGAGGUCUGGGGAGGGAGCGCACAGCCAGCACUGGUCUGUGUGUGGUCUGGCCUGGCCUCACCUGACCAAGAGAAGGGCUCCUGCCCACAGAGAAACUUUAGGGCCAGCCCACCCUCUGCAACUACCCCAGCCCUGGGGUCCUGGGGUUAGGCUAGGAGAGUCCCAGCUGCAACCUCCUGGGAGCAGGAGAGAAGGUGUCUGUCAGAUUUAGGCCUGGGACCGGAAUGCAGGAACAGAGAAACUGAGGUUUGGAGGCACAGGGACGCAGGCUUUAGUGAUCCCGGCCUGAGGCAGGGUCAGAGGGCCCUGCUGGUGGGCGCUGGUAGGUGGGUGACCAGGGACUGUUAGCUACAGGGAGUGUGCUUCCUUGCACCUGGGAGGAUGCAGCCAGCUCUGCCCUCAGACUCCCGAGGCACUUCCUGGCCAGGGACCUGAAAGCUGCAUUUGCCUGUGUUUUGAGAGUGAAAUGAUUCAGAAACAAGGACUCAAGUGGUCUCUCUCGCGGAGCAGGU